This 506-nucleotide ribosomal RNA is filed under the name uncultured bacterium. RNAcentral describes it as "bacterial SSU rRNA". It matches the Rfam family "Bacterial small subunit ribosomal RNA", at positions 8 to 526 of the family's 1533-position model. The record is from RNAcentral.
AGAGUUUGAUCAUGGCUCAGGAUGAACGCUGGCGGCGUGCUUAACACAUGCAAGUCGAACGGUGAAGCCCAGCUUGCUGGGUGGAUCAGUGGCGAACGGGUGAGUAACACGUGAGCAAUCUGCCCCUGACUCUGGGAUAAGCGCUGGAAACGGCGUCUAAUACUGGAUAUGAGCUGCGAUCGCAUGGUCAGUAGCUGGAAAGAUUUUUUGGUCAGGGAUGAGCUCGCGGCCUAUCAGCUUGUUGGUGAGGUAAUGGCUCACCAAGGCGUCGACGGGUAGCCGGCCUGAGAGGGUGACCGGCCACACUGGGACUGAGACACGGCCCAGACUCCUACGGGAGGCAGCAGUGGGGAAUAUUGCACAAUGGGCGCAAGCCUGAUGCAGCAACGCCGCGUGAGGGAUGACGGCCUUCGGGUUGUAAACCUCUUUUAGCAGGGAAGAAGCGAAAGUGACGGUACCUGCAGAAAAAGCGCCGGCUAACUACGUGCCAGCAGCCGCGGUAAUUC